GCGGGCGUAGGUCAGUGGUAGACCGUCACCUUCCCAAGGUGAAUGCCACGGGUUCGAAUCCCGUCGCCCGCU
RNAcentral lists this transfer RNA (72 nucleotides) under Anaerolineaceae bacterium. Its description in RNAcentral is "tRNA-Gly". It matches the Rfam family "tRNA". Rfam says of the family: Transfer RNA (tRNA) molecules are approximately 80 nucleotides in length. Their secondary structure includes four short double-helical elements and three loops (D, anti-codon, and T loops). Further hydrogen bonds mediate the characteristic L-shaped molecular structure. tRNAs have two regions of fundamental functional importance: the anti-codon, which is responsible for specific mRNA codon recognition, and the 3' end, to which the tRNAs corresponding amino acid is attached (by aminoacyl-tRNA synthetases). tRNAs cope with the degeneracy of the genetic code in two manners: having more than one tRNA (with a specific anti-codon) for a particular amino acid; and 'wobble' base-pairing, i.e. permitting non-standard base-pairing at the 3rd anti-codon position. RNAcentral also lists the same sequence under 1 other name. The record is from RNAcentral. Lineage: Bacteria; Bacillati; Chloroflexota; Anaerolineae; Anaerolineales; Anaerolineaceae.